Dreissena polymorpha is the source of this 5834-nucleotide long non-coding RNA. RefSeq lists it as uncharacterized. Lineage: Eukaryota; Metazoa; Mollusca; Bivalvia; Myida; Dreissenidae. The record is from RefSeq and is a predicted model, not a curated record. The transcript is spliced from 4 exons.
GAACAACAAAAUUUCUAGCAUACAAACUAGAAUGAACAAGUUGGCAAAGAAGAUAAAAUAAGGAAAACAAUGAAGACGAUAAUCUAUGAGAUAUACGCAGCCAACACGAAGACAAGACGAAGACAUUUGACAACUUGCAAGGAUGAAAAUGCGCUUCUUGAUAAACAACGGAUAUUGUAUUCAUAAAUGUAUUGAAACAGACUUUAUAAACCACGAUUUCAUUAUAUUACGAGAGUUUAUAUUGUGAAAUUAAGUCAUAGUAAUACAAUUUACAAUAUUUAACACGCCACUUCGAGUGGUCAUCACAUUGGCGACUAAAUGCAAUGAACUGUGUAUUUUUAUCUGUUUGUAGGACUUAAAAUUAAAAGUCUUUUUCUAAUAUUGGAUUCUUAACUGAAUUGUGUAUAUAUUUUAUAAAUAGCAUUUUUAAUAUUUAUAUGCAGUUUCAUAAAUCGUUGUCGUAUUGGACACAAUUAUGACUCAUUCGAGAUGUGCCGAAUCGUACCUACGUUUUAAUAUGAUCAUAUUAAUAAGUAUAGACAAAUCGGUUACCAUUUGUGUGAUGUAAUAUAGCUUCACGCCUGUUACUCUUGAACUCAUUAAGCAGAUAUUAGUCGACUUAAUUGUGUCCCAUAUUUCAACUCAGAUUUCAUAGUACACCUGUUUCACGAUUUGUAUCAUACGAAAACCGUUAUUUAGUAGUCUUUAGAGUAUUCUGCAAUCUGUUUAUCCGAUUCCGAUUCGGACACUCAUUUAUUCGUUGAAACGUUGGUGUGUUUUUUAUAAAUGCAUCCAAAUCAGGGUCAUGCUAAUACUGGUGGGGUUUAUUCUUCAAGCAUUCCAAACCAUUAAUAUUUAUUAAAUUGAAAUAUGAUAAAAAUGUGAAAGUCGUAAAACGUUUAAGUGUUGUUCUGAAUAAAGAGUAAGCAUUUUUUAAUUGAGCGGUGGUGCACGCUCAAUAGAGCAGACCAAGAAUUUUGAAACGUGUUUUUCUGAUCCUUGCGUGUUUUUUUUUUUUUCAACAGUUGCAUAAUUAAGUGUAUUACAGGCUUGAUGAACAAGUAGUAAAAUGUUUGCAUACGUAUGACAAAAGUUGUUUUCGUAUUGACACAAACAUUAUAAAGAAGUGAAACUCCAGCUGCUGGAGCAGUAUUGAAUUAUUAUCAUAAACAAUCAGUUGGUCCUUUAUUUAAGGCAAGUGACCAAUUGCCCAAACAGAACAAAACAGCACAAUACAAAACAACAUAAACACAAAUAAGAAUAAAGCUGGGGUCACCGCCUUGGAACGGUCAAUGCAAAGCAUUGGGGGUUUAAACCGCUUUUAGAGCGCUCAACUUCACACUUGGCCCAGCAAUAUUCAUGUUACAUUUAAUUGUUAAUAGAAAUUAACCUCAUAGCAUUGUGACUCAAAUUAAACAAUAAUAAAAGGGAAUUGAAAUGCAUUCAAUUUAAUUAUCAUUUAAUUACACAAUGGUAUGAAAGAUACCAGAGCAAGAGUGUUACGACUUUUUGAGGCACAAUGAAAUGAAACUACUAACAAGUAUCUACUACAUUCCUUCUUUAUAGAAAAAGAUUUAAAAAUAUAGCGUCAUCAAGUUAAUAUUUCAGAUCAUCAUCGCGCAAAUACAGGAAGAAGGAGCAAUAAUGGGUGUACAGGAUCCAUAUUACAUACCUUUGUUGUUUAUGCGAUUGCUAAAAAAUAAAUCUAACAAGAAACACCUAUCAGAGAUGAAAUAAAAUGAAAAUUGAACGAUAUAAAACCAAUGACCUAUGCAUGAAGAUAACGUCAUUUGGCAAUGUUCAUAUUAGUUUCUGAUUAUAAUAAACUGGUUUGAAAAUCAUACUAUUAAGAUUAGUUAAAGUCUGGUCAUCUGUUUGUGUAUGCGGUCGGAAUAUAUGAGAGAUGAAAACGAGAUCUGAUGGACAAUGUACUGUACUUACGUAAAUCUGUUUGAGUUGUUUCCUUGAAACCUUGUUUGUGAAAAAAGUCUAUGUUGUCUUGUGGAAUGUACAAACUGUUUUCUCAACAAGGGAUAGAACAUGAUAGAUUUUUUUUUUAUGUUCACGUUGAACUUUGAUAAACACUUUUAUUACCUGGUUACCGGAAAGGUUACUUAAUAUUAUUAUAUUUUCUAGAUCUAACUGUAAUUUCAAGAUGUUUAUGAGGUCGUUGUAUAAAAACAUAUGAAUAAUAUAUCAGUUACUUUUUAGUUUUGUAAAUAACGUGUUUAUUGAUUUAUGAAACUGACAUUUAAAUGAUAAAUUGUGCCAUCUUUGUUUUGUUUUGUGUAUUUAACAUUAAAACAUUAAACAGUUAAAUUAUAAAAAUAUAAAUAAUGGCCUCAUCCUUUGUAUUAAAUAUUAUGUAUAUAGACAGCAAUUCAUCGUUCUUCUAGUUAUAAAAUACGUUUACCUCUUCCAAUUUAGCAGUUUAUUUUAAAUGCAUCGUAUGUUAUGUAUUUGUAUUUUUGUUUUAUGUAAAACAUACUUAGUUACAAGGUUAAAUUAACUAUACCAUAGUUGCGCAAACAAGCAUUGUCAUACUGAACUGUAUUACUAUAUGUACACAUUAUUUCUUUUUUAAAGAUGGUAUUCUUUUAAUAUUUGUAUUUGCUUCUUUGUUGUGUAUGGAUCAUUAGUUAGAUAAUCACGGUAUCUUUUGCAGUUUCUAUAUGCCUCAUUUUUAUGUCAAGGUUGUGGUUUAUAUUUUAGUAUUUUAUGUUAUAAGCGUAUGCGACAUGCUGUUAAUAGCCCCACACGUUUAUAUCAUUAUCGUCAAGUGUAAGAGUGUGUCUUGAUAGUUCGCAGUUAUUUAUUGUUAGAUACAAUUCGUUCUCCAAUAGCUGUUACAUUAUAGCAUAUAAUGUGAUCACGCAAUUCAUACAUAUUUAAAAAGAAUAGAUUCAUUAUAUAGUUUAUAUAUAUGCUUGGUUUAAACGGUAAAGCGAGCUGCAUCCCAUCGCCAUUGCCGUUAUAUUCAUGUAAGUGUGUUUGCAAUCUUGUUGACAGUAAUAAAUUAGGUCUUUUCGGGCUAUCGCAUGUGAUCCGUUAAGUCGCACUAUGUGAUUAAAAGAACAAAUGGUGUAAGUAUUCAUGCGUAUAUAAGAGAGAAGAACUGAAAACGUAUAGGUAUAUGUCAAUAAAAACAAAUACAAAUACGAAAAUAUUCUUUUCAUAUAUGAUCGAUAUUCAUAUUUUGAGCUGUUAAGGAAAAAAUGAUCACAAGAUUCGUGAUUAUUAAUGUUAAUCUUUCAUUUUCCAAUAUCUAUGAAAGAUAAAUACGUAUUCGGAAAUUUACAAAAAGAACACCUGAAUGUAUUUGAUCAUUUAGAAAAUAAAGCCUGUUUUGCAAAGGUAUGAAAGUGUCAGAAUUUAAUAAAAUGUGCGUUUUGCAGCAAAAUUAUAUUACAUUGCUUACUUUGUGUAUUUUUUUGUAAAUAUAUGUAUGUGAAUAGGCAACUUUAAUUUUUAAACACCUCGUUCAUGCAUGUGUCUCUGUCGUUUUAUGUGACCGGUUUGAUAAUUAAUGUCCCUUCCAUUAAAAUAUAUUAAGCUUGUGUAUCAGGCUAUGUGAUUAUCUGAUGGCUGACCCAUCUGUAUUGCUUUACUGUCGGUGGCACAGUCUCGCAUAAAUCCAAGUAUCGUGUGUAGAUAAAAUUCACAUAUCGUACAUACUGUGUAAUUAUACUAAUUGCUUAGUAGUAAUGCAUAAUAACAUUGCAUAUCGGAAUUGAAAAGUCAGCCCGUAACAAAACAAAUGUGCUAAGAUGUUUAAUAAUAUAUUUUUUAAAUAAUGUAUCAAAGAUUAGUUUGAGAAUAAAAAUACGGUAUCAUACCUAUGAAUGAUAUCAUGUGACCCGUAACGGUCAAAUGAAUAAACGUUCAAUGUUAAAACGUUUUAUGGCAUAUAUUAUAUUGCAACCGUUGAAGAACGGGGAAUUUUUUAGGUAUUAUCGUUGAUUCACAUCAAUCCGCUAAAUGCGCUAAUUUCCAUAGCAUGGAGGAAAUGUGUAUCUAUAUCAAUGGAUCAAAUAUGAUUAGUAAUAGUUCAUUGAUGAUUGUAUGGUAAUUAUAUUGAAUCGUCAAAAUGCUAUAUUAACGUUGUUUGUUGUUGCAUUUUGCAAUUGUUACAAACUCGAUUCAGUAAAAAUUAAAAUAUAGUAAACGAAAAGCGCCUGAAAUGGUUUUUUUUGUUGGUAAGGCAGUUCUUAAUAGACUUGUCUGAAUUUUCUGACUGCGGUAACUUGUGAUUUGUAGGAAACUCUCAUGCUUUAUGUCAAGUAAUACAUGUACGAACAAGUCGAUCUGGAACAAACAUUGGCAAAUUGUAAUAUAACGGAUAUGAAAACCAUUGUAAAUAGUCAACAAAGGCGUCUUAUCUGAUGUUAUAUGCUUUGUGUUAUUAUGUUAUAAUUUUGUUUCUGCAACGUGUUCAAUGGGUAUGUUAUGUUUUACGUAUUGCCAUGUUAUUGGCUGUUUGUAUAUUUUAUAUAUCCAGUUAUAACAAAGUAGAGAUUAACAUACAUCACGGCAAGUAAAACCCAUGAAUUGAAAUCAUACCGAGUUAUGUGCAUUGUUCUCAACCAUAAUGCAUCAAUGAAAUAUCUGGGAAAAAACGUGCGUAGUCAAAAGGACUUAUUUAAAAGUGUCAUACAAUAAGCAUGGUAAAUAAUAAAACUUGUUCCCAUUUAUUUCCGAUGUAUAAAGAGUAUGUGGGUUCAAAUGCGUAUAGUUAGUAUCUAGUUUUUUUUUUGUUCUAAAUGUUCAUAUAUUGUUAACGAUUUGCGAUGUUUGGAGUCCUAGGAUUUGGAUACCAGAUUAAAAUUGUACUGUAACAAACACAUCAUGUAACCACUCAAUUGUUGAAAAACAUGUUUUCAUUUUAACAUAUCUGAGGGACCCAUAUAUGGUGACCAAUCCUUACGUUCUUUCACAUCCUUUUUUACCAAAUUUAUAAUUACAAUGUGCAAUGUCCAAUGCACUGCAUCUUAGAUGAUUGUAGUAACACGUUAUUCUUACAUACAUAUAUAUAAACAGCUUAAUAUUUUAACUCAUAGAAAAGUUAUAAAAUGUUAAUAUAUAUUUUUAUUUUUGUUUUUAGAAGAACAUAACUAAUUGCUAAACUGUCUGCUAAUGGGGGGGGACAAACCGAUAUUUACUGGUGUCUUACCUAGAAGACAGGGUCCAAUGACUCCUAAUAUCUUCAUUAUUGUUAUUUUACUAGCAUGUUUAGUUCAUUAAGUAUGAUGUGUUCUUUUAUCUCUUUUAUUAUGCUAUAUAGGAACCUUUUCCGACCGAAUAUCGGUCCAUCUGAAUAGAAAUUUGUCCUGUCUCUAACCGCAUUGAUUUGUUUUAAAAUAUCAUGGCGUAUUUUUUAUUUAUAUUAAAAAAUAAUGUUUGCUAUAUGAUAAGAAGUUUCUCGCGCGAACAUUAAAUAGUAACUGUUGAUAUUAAUUCAUGUCCGAUAAAAUCUCCAAACAGUGUACGUUUAACCUUUUAGGCUUCCAUUCAUGUCAAAGCGGUAUGAGGGGACAAUAAUUACAAUGCGUGAUUGAAUAACGUAUAUAUUUAUCAAAUGUUGUUUUGAGGCUGCAUUCAAUAUAUAUUUAUUAUAAUAUGUAUAAUUAGAAUUACAAUUACGUAUAAAUUAUGCAACUGUCAUUCCAGAAUUAUUCAAAGACAAACGAAUCAUUAUCCAUAUUAAAUAUAAUGACAAAGGGGAAAAGCCUCAAAAUCUCAUUAUAUUAACAAAAUUUACUUUUAAUGAAAGGAAUUAUUGUUAGCAUUCAAUAUUCAAUUAGUUUGCACAUAUAGUAAUAAAUAUUGCACGUGUA